UAUCAAUAAGCGGAGGAAAAGAAACCAACAGGGAUUGCCUCAGUAACGGCGAGUGAAGCGGCAAAAGCUCAAAUUUGAAACCCUCGGGAUUGUAAUUUGAAGAUUUGGCAUUGGAGAAAGCUAACCCAAGUUGCUUGGAAUAGUACGUCAUAGAGGGUGACAACCCCGUCUGGCUAACCGUUCUCCAUGUAUUGCCUUAUCAAAGAGUCGAGUUGUUUGGGAAUGCAGCUCAAAGUGGGUGGUAAACUCCAUCUAAAGCUAAAUACUGGUGAGAGACCGAUAGCGAACAAGUACUGUGAAGGAAAGGUGAAAAGAACUUUGAAAAGAGAGUGAAAUAGUAUGUGAAAUUGUUGAUAGGGAAGGAAAUGAGUGGAGAGUGGCCGAGGUUUCAGCCGCCCCUCGUGGGCGGUGUACUGCCGACGCCGAGUCAUCGAUAGCGAGACGAGGGUUACAAAUGGGAGCGCCUUCGGGCGUUCUCCCCUAACCCUCCACACUGCCACCGACGACAUAAUCCACCCAUUUCACCCGUCUUGAAACACGG
RNAcentral lists this ribosomal RNA (541 nucleotides) under Yarrowia lipolytica. Its description in RNAcentral is "eukaryotic LSU rRNA". It matches the Rfam family "Eukaryotic large subunit ribosomal RNA", at positions 41 to 664 of the family's 3401-position model. The record is from RNAcentral. Lineage: Eukaryota; Fungi; Ascomycota; Dipodascomycetes; Dipodascales.